GACGAACGCUGGCGGCGUGCCUAAUACAUGCAAGUAGAACGCUGAAGGAGGAGCUUGCUUCUCCGGAUGAGUUGCGAACGGGUGAGUAACGCGUAGGUAACCUGCCUGGUAGCGGGGGAUAACUAUUGGAAACGAUAGCUAAUACCGCAUAAGAGUAGAUGUCGCAUGACAUUUGCUUAAAAGGUGCAACUGCACCACUACCAGAUGGACCUGCGUUGUAUUAGCUAGUUGGUGAGGUAACGGCUCACCAAGGCAACGAUACAUAGCCGACCUGAGAGGGGGAUCGGCCACACUGGGACUGGGACACGGCCCAGACUCCUACGGGAGGCAGCAGGAGGGAAGCUUCGGCAAUGGACGGAAGUCUGACCGAGCAACGCCGCGGGAGUGAAGAAGGGUUUCGGAUCGUAAAGCUCUGUUGUAAGAGAAGAACGAGUGUGAGGGUGGAAAGUUCACACUGUGACGGUAUCUUACCAGAAAGGGACGGCUAACUACGUG
RNAcentral lists this ribosomal RNA (495 nucleotides) under uncultured bacterium. RNAcentral's name for it is "partial 16S ribosomal RNA". It matches the Rfam family "Bacterial small subunit ribosomal RNA", at positions 28 to 507 of the family's 1533-position model. The record is from RNAcentral.